AUGAUCAAUCAAAUUAUUCAUAAUGCUCGAACGGGCUUCAUCAAAGGUCGCGGGAUCGCUAAAAGUUUUGUCCACGCGGCAGACAUCAUCCAGACUUGCUUUAAAAGGAGAUCCUCGGCUAUUGUUCUGAAACUAGAUUUUCACAAAGCCUUUGAUUCCGUAUCUUGGGAGGCCCUGUCUUUCAUUAUGUGUGCCAAAGGUUUCCUGUCAACCUGGUACCGUUGGAUCGAGGAUUUGAACAAGUCUGCAAACUCGGUUGUUUUGCUGAAUGGAAAACCAGGACCUUGGUUCCAAUGUCAUGAGGGGCUGCGGCAAGGAGACUCAGUUUCACCCUAUCUUUUUAUCAUUAUCACAGACAUAUUAAAAUGGCUAAUUAUUCAAGAUGCUCAUGACGGGUAUCUUACUCACCCUCUGGACGAAAAUCCUCUUUGCAUCGUCCUCCAAUACACUGAUGACACGCUUAUCGUCCUCCCGCCUAACGCUGCCUAG
This 489-nucleotide ribosomal RNA is filed under the name Triticum aestivum (bread wheat). RNAcentral describes it as "partial small subunit ribosomal RNA". Lineage: Eukaryota; Viridiplantae; Streptophyta; Magnoliopsida; Poales; Poaceae. The record is from RNAcentral.